AGUGAACGCUGGCGGUAGGCCUAACACAUGCAAGUCGAACGGCAGCACAGUAAGAGCUUGCUCUUACGGGUGGCGAGUGGCGGACGGGUGAGGAAUACAUCGGAAUCUACUUUUUCGUGGGGGAUAACGUAGGGAAACUUACGCUAAUACCGCAUACGACCUACGGGUGAAAGCAGGGGAUCUUCGGACCUUGCGCGAUUGAAUGAGCCGAUGUCGGAUUAGCUAGUUGGCGGGGUAAAGGCCCACCAAGGCGACGAUCCGUAGCUGGUCUGAGAGGAUGAUCAGCCACACUGGAACUUGGACACGGUCCAGACUCCUACGAGAGGCAGCAGUGGGGAAUAUUGGACAAUGGGCGCAAGCCUGAUCCAGCCAUACCGCGUGGGUGAAGAAGGCCUUCGGGUUGUAAAGCCCUUUUGUUGGGAAAGAAAAGCAGCAGGCUAAUACCCCGCUGUUCUGACGGUACCCAAAGAAUAAGCACCGGCUAACUUCGUG
Molecule: ribosomal RNA, 492 nt
Filed under: uncultured bacterium
Lineage: Bacteria
Description: partial 16S ribosomal RNA
Rfam family: Bacterial small subunit ribosomal RNA
Source: RNAcentral